RNAcentral lists this ribosomal RNA (525 nucleotides) under uncultured Mycobacterium sp. RNAcentral's name for it is "bacterial SSU rRNA". It matches the Rfam family "Bacterial small subunit ribosomal RNA", at positions 523 to 1045 of the family's 1533-position model. The record is from RNAcentral. Lineage: Bacteria; Bacillati; Actinomycetota; Actinomycetes; Mycobacteriales; Mycobacteriaceae.
AUACGUAGGGUGCGAGCGUUGUCCGGAAUUACUGGGCGUAAAGAGCUCGUAGGUGGUUUGUCGCGUUGUUCGUGAAAACUCACAGCUUAACUGUGGGCGUGCGGGCGAUACGGGCAGACUGGAGUACUGCAGGGGAGACUGGAAUUCCUGGUGUAGCGGUGGAAUGCGCAGAUAUCAGGAGGAACACCGGUGGCGAAGGCGGGUCUCUGGGCAGUAACUGACGCUGAGGAGCGAAAGCGUGGGGAGCGAACAGGAUUAGAUACCCUGGUAGUCCACGCCGUAAACGGUGGGUACUAGGUGUGGGUUUCCUUCCUUGGGAUCCGUGCCGUAGCUAACGCAUUAAGUACCCCGCCUGGGGAGUACGGCCGCAAGGCUAAAACUCAAAGAAAUUGACGGGGGCCCGCACAAGCGGCGGAGCAUGUGGAUUAAUUCGAUGCAACGCGAAGAACCUUACCUGGGUUUGACAUCCUGCGAAUCUCUUGGAAACGAGAGAGUGCCUUCGGGAACGCAGUGGCAGGUGGUGCA